This is a long non-coding RNA of Zalophus californianus (California sea lion), 1971 nucleotides long. Lineage: Eukaryota; Metazoa; Chordata; Mammalia; Carnivora; Otariidae. The record is from Ensembl.
UAGACUCCGUCCCGGCACUGAGAGCCCAGCAGGUGUCUGUGACCAGGCGUUCCCCUGUCAGGCUCCCAGCACCCGCCUGGCCUUUCACCGGGAGGUGAUGUAAGCGGACCCCUGGCUGCAGCCCUCCUCCCUGGAUCAGCCUCCUGGAAACUUUCUAGGGCCUGCUGGAUGGCCCGCGGCCCUGUAGGUGCCAGGCCUGUGAUUUCUGCUGGAUUUUGGCCUCAGUGGGGAUCUGUCCACGGGAACAGUUCAGGGUCAUUUUGUUAAUCUUCAGAGGCCUUGCCCCAGAUUCUCCUCUGCUGUCCUGUGACGCUGGUGACAUUCCGGGAACACUUGGUCCACGUGAGGGGAGGAACCACUGCGGGGAACUUUGAUCAGCGCUGGCGCUGCUGGGCUCACACUGACCAUAGACCACGCCAGACACACUUCUGCUCCCUAGGAAGAGCCAGGGCGGCCUGUGCGUGUCCUCUCAGCCCCUCACGGUCUUCUUUGGCUCCGUGAUGAGCUAUCUGCCUGCUCAGCAGCCCCGUGUUGGAUCAUUCCGCCUCGAAUGCCUGUAAAGCAAACCCAUCCCCGGGAUUCCUCUCCAGCAGAUUGCCAAGCCCAGGAGGAGAUUUUGAAGAAACAAACUGGAUGCAGACUGGCUUGCUUUCUUGCAGCAUAAGGAUUGCUAAGGCAUCCCAAAGCACCUCCUUCCAACAGAUGGGGGUGGCUCCUUGCCCUGAUGUCGUGCAUGUCCCACCGUCCGGUGAUUUCCUGCCAUUUGCCAGCAGUGGCAGACGGUUCAACAUUUCCCGAAGCCUGCAAACGGGUCGAUUCGGCGGCUCAGGGAGCCCCCUUGUGGCACGCUGGACGAACGGCUCCCCUCACGGGGCGCGGCGCUUUCCUCUCUGGAAGUCACAACCCGCCCCCCGCCUCCCCGCCGAAGGGACAGCCGAACACAUCGACUCGGUGGCGCCGGGGCCGCUCCCGGGCAGGCGGAGAGAGCUGCCGAGGCUUCUGGCUCCUGCAGCUCUGGGCAAAUGCCAGGCCGCUGGGUGCCCGCGCCCGUGGGGCGGCGGGCGGGGGCCUGAGGUUCCAGGGCGGCACCGCCACCUCCUGGCGCGCUCUAGUCCGUCCCCUUGAUGCUGCGCGUCUUGCACCGUGGGACAGCCCUGCACGACAGCGAGUUGUCAGGCGUCGCCCAUGACUUGCAAACGGGCCUCCAGGCACUGCUGUGUGAAAUGCUGUAGUGAGCUCAGCCUGCCACUGUGACACAGGAGAACCCAAGGUUGUCCUUCUAGCUUGGACACUUUCAGUUUUCCAGGACCGCAACUUAGCAUGUACCUGCUGGGAAGACUGUGCUUUGCCUUCUUUGCAAUUUUAUCAUGGUUGUUCAGCAUUUUGGAAAAUAUCCCUGCACCCCGCCUCCCUUAACCCUUAUUUCAAAAACUCAAAUAUAAACAGAAAGCAGCUUCUCUUUAAAUUCCUCCUUUCCUCGUUAUCUAGUAGGUGAAAGCCUCUGAUGAUUUCAUCAGAUCUCUGGUGAGGUUGAACCUGAGCAUUUUCACGUGGGGAUAAAUAUUAUUUUAUCAUAAACUACCUUUUAUUUCUAAUUUAUUACAGUUAGAACAUUUAAUUUUUAAAUUCUCUGUGAGAUCUGAUUAUACUAUCUGUGAAAUUUAUUUCAGGAGACUGAAGGGGGUGUUAAGAAUCAGUUGCUAUGGGGAAUCAUUUGCUAUGGGGCGCCUGGGUGGCUCAGAUGGUUGGGUGUCUGCCUUCGGCUCGGGUCAUGAUCUCAGGGUCCUGGAAUCAAGUCCCACUUGAUCGGGCUCCUUGCUUAGCAGGAAGCCUGUUUCUCCCUCUGCCUGCCGCUCGCCCUGCUUGUUACUCUCCCUCUCUCUCUGGCAAAUAAAUAAAUAAAAUCUUUAAAAAUAAAUCAUUUGCUGUAACAGGGGUGUUGGAUCUGUCAGCGAUGAAAUCCACUGUUCC